This 29-nucleotide non-coding RNA is filed under the name Homo sapiens (human). The record is from RNAcentral. Lineage: Eukaryota; Metazoa; Chordata; Mammalia; Primates; Hominidae.
UNUGACUGCAUGCCACCUAAACUAGGGUU